RNAcentral lists this transfer RNA (85 nucleotides) under Caudoviricetes sp. RNAcentral describes it as "tRNA-Leu". It matches the Rfam family "tRNA". From Rfam's summary of the family: Transfer RNA (tRNA) molecules are approximately 80 nucleotides in length. Lineage: Duplodnaviria; Heunggongvirae; Uroviricota; Caudoviricetes. The record is from RNAcentral.
GGGAUCGUGGCGAAAUUGGCAGCACGCGGCGGACUUAAAAUCCGCCGGUAGCGAUACCGUGAGGGUUCGAGUCCCUCCGAUCCCA